This is a long non-coding RNA of Catharus ustulatus (Swainson's thrush), 1583 nucleotides long. RefSeq lists it as uncharacterized. The record is from RefSeq and is a predicted model, not a curated record. NCBI's taxonomy places the organism in Eukaryota, Metazoa, Chordata, Aves, Passeriformes, Turdidae. The transcript has 3 exons.
UUACUGCAUCCUUAAUUUUCUUUGGGAUCGGUUCAGAUUGGGAAGUCAGUUCCUGUAACAGAAAAAAUUGAAGCUUCCACAUAUUUAGGCUCAGGGAUUUUCAUGUGAAUGUACCCCUCUCGAUACUUGAUUGCAUUCAAUUUUUCAAGUAAAUUUCCUCCCAAAAAAUAAUUUCUAAGGUUGGGCAAGUACAAAAAAUGAUGGGCUCUCCGUAAUUUUCCCGGUUUGAAUGUCACUGGAUUGAAAAAGGGACACAUUUCUCAAGUCCCAGUGGCACUGACAGUUGUGAUGGAAUCAUCACUUAACUUCCCUUGCAGGGUAUUUAAUACAGAAGAACCAGCUCCUGUGCCUAUCAAAAAUUCCAGUUUUCCACUUCCCAGUGUGGCUGUUACCACAGGCUCUGCUGGGGAUGAAACCUCUGCUCCCCUCCACAGGUACCCAGCCAUUGGCAUGAGGGGGUUUGGAGAAGUCCUGGGUUUUAGGCAGAUGAGAUAUAACCGGGACAAGCCCCCACAGUGCUCUCACCCUGGUGCUUGCACCCCGGUGCUCACACCCCCAGCGUGGAGCUGCUCAUUCCCAGCCUUGUCCAGAGGCUGGUCCAUUCCAGGGGGUGUCCUAAAUCCAUUCAGUGCCUGCUUCUUGGCCAAGUGUCUGUAAGUUUGCUUUGGAAGUGCCUUCCCUUGUGUGACUCCAUUCUUUCUGCACUGCUGCGUCCCCAGAACUUGUUUUCAAGGCCCAGGACAGCGUCCCAGGCAGUGACAUGGCACACAGUGUAUGUUUGCAGUCAUCCAGUGCUUGUUUUCACCACCACAGGCUCACAGCCCUUGCUGUGGUGGGUUUGGGAUACAGUCAGUCUGCCAGGCCUACCCAUACUUGUAUUCCAGCCCUUGUGAACAAAACCGUCCCUCAAGAGAUUUUUGAUUUGGGAGGUCAAAAACUCUUUAAUUUGAUAUUUCUGGGCGCAAAUCCUCCCUAAAUGUGUGUUUCUCAGCUCCCUAGAUUGGUGUUUCAGACCAAAAUAUCUUCAAAUGUGUGUUUCGCAACUCCAAAUCUCUCCAAGUUGCUGUUUCUGAGUUCAGAAUACCCCUAAAUUGCUUUCUGUGAGACUCAGAGCUCCUUAGGCUUUUUCCUACAGCCAAAACUCUUUCAAAAUCAGUGUUCUAGAGCCACAGAGCCCAGAGCCCCCCCAAAUGACCUUGUUCAGCUCCAAAGCUCCUCACAUCACUAUCACAGCACCCAAGCUAAUGAAGUGGACGCUUUCUAAGCAGUGAAGUUCCCAAAAUCAGUGUUCCAAAGCCCUCAUGCCCCAACUCAAGCCACGUGCCCUGUUUGCCAUCAGGGCGUGGGGUUCACUCCCAGUGCUCCCAGUCCCCUCCCAGUGCAUUCCCAGUGCCCUGGGAUGCCUUCAGGAGCAGGGACUGGCCGCUGGCUGUGCUGAUUUUCCUCCCCCGCCCCCAUCCAAGGAGCCAACCCCUGCUCAGAGCAUUUUCAAUUUCAGUGUUCCAGGCAUUUACAGGAAAUCAGUGUAAAGCCAAGAAGGGAAGUGCUGGGGGGAGGAGGGAGCAGCCCGUGGGGGUGGGAAU